UACGUAGGGGGCUAGCGUUAUCCGGAAUUACUGGGCGUAAAGGGUGCGUAGGUGGUUUCUUAAGUCAGAGGUGAAAGGCUACGGCUCAACCGUAGUAAGCCUUUGAAACUGGGGAACUUGAGUGCAGGAGAGGAGAGUGGAAUUCCUAGUGUAGCGGUGAAAUGCGUAGAUAUUGGGAGGAACACCAGUUGCGAAGGCGGCUCUCUGGACUGUAACUGACACUGAGGCACGAAAGCGUGGGGAGCAAACAGG
RNAcentral lists this ribosomal RNA (252 nucleotides) under uncultured bacterium. RNAcentral's name for it is "partial 16S ribosomal RNA". It matches the Rfam family "Bacterial small subunit ribosomal RNA", at positions 524 to 776 of the family's 1533-position model. The record is from RNAcentral.